RNAcentral lists this unclassified non-coding RNA (200 nucleotides) under soil metagenome. RNAcentral's name for it is "partial contains internal transcribed spacer 2 and large subunit ribosomal RNA". The record is from RNAcentral.
GUUCGAGCGUCAUUGCAACCCUCAAGCACUGCUUGGUAUUGAGCACAGCUACAUAGCUGUGCUUUAAAGACAGUGGCGGCACCGACCACCUCCUAGCACAGUAAAAUAUUCUGCUCUGGAGCGUGGCCUGGCUGCUUGCCAGCAACCCCAAAUUUUAAAAGGUUGACCUCGGAUCAGGUAGGGAUACCCGCUGAACUUAA